AGACUUGUGGUGGUUCAUCAUUGUGGCUGUGGGUUUAGCCACACUUUUAAUAAUCACUGUGGCUGUCAUCAGAUGGAAGAAAACUAAAGGGAACAGAACACAGAUGGAUAAAAACAAAAGACUGAGCUUAAACCCUGCAGAGACUCCAGAAACCAGUCAGGACACGG
Morone saxatilis (striped sea-bass) is the source of this 167-nucleotide long non-coding RNA. RefSeq lists it as uncharacterized. The record is from RefSeq and is a predicted model, not a curated record. The transcript is spliced from 3 exons. Lineage: Eukaryota; Metazoa; Chordata; Actinopteri; Moronidae.